RNAcentral lists this ribosomal RNA (445 nucleotides) under uncultured bacterium. Its description in RNAcentral is "partial 16S ribosomal RNA". It matches the Rfam family "Bacterial small subunit ribosomal RNA", at positions 338 to 795 of the family's 1533-position model. The record is from RNAcentral.
CCUACGGGGGGCAGCAGUGAGGGAUAUUGGUCAAUGGGGGAAACCCUGAACCAGCAACGCCGCGUGAGGGAAGACGGUUUUCGGAUUGUAAACCUCUGUCAUGUGGGAGCAAAUUAAAAAGAUAGUACCACAAGAGGAAGAGACGGCUAACUCUGUGCCAGCAGCCGCGGUAAUACAGAGGUCUCAAGCGUUGUUCGGAAUCACUGGGCGUAAAGCGUGCGUAGGCUGUUUCGUAAGUCGUGUGUGAAAGGCGCGGGCUCAACCCGCGGACGGCACAUGAUACUGCGAGACUAGAGUAAUGGAGGGGGAACCGGAAUUCUCGGUGUAGCAGUGAAAUGCGUAGAUAUCGAGAGGAACACUCGUGGCGAAGGCGGGUUCCUGGACAUUAACUGACGCUGAGGCACGAAGGCCAGGGGAGCGAAAGGGAUUAGAUACCCUGGUAGUC